This 899-nucleotide ribosomal RNA is filed under the name Staphylococcus arlettae. Its description in RNAcentral is "bacterial SSU rRNA". It matches the Rfam family "Bacterial small subunit ribosomal RNA", at positions 70 to 943 of the family's 1533-position model. Lineage: Bacteria; Bacillati; Bacillota; Bacilli; Caryophanales; Staphylococcaceae. The record is from RNAcentral.
CAUGGGGAGCUUGCUCCUUUGACGUUAGCGGCGGACGGGUGAGUAACACGUGGGUAACCUACCUAUAAGACUGGAAUAACUCCGGGAAACCGGGGCUAAUGCCGGAUAACAUUUAGAACCGCAUGGUUCUAAAGUGAAAGAUGGUUUUGCUAUCACUUAUAGAUGGACCCGCGCCGUAUUAGCUAGUUGGUAAGGUAACGGCUUACCAAGGCAACGAUACGUAGCCGACCUGAGAGGGUGAUCGGCCACACUGGAACUGAGACACGGUCCAGACUCCUACGGGAGGCAGCAGUAGGGAAUCUUCCGCAAUGGGCGAAAGCCUGACGGAGCAACGCCGCGUGAGUGAUGAAGGGUUUCGGCUCGUAAAACUCUGUUAUUAGGGAAGAACAAACGUGUAAGUAACUGUGCACGUCUUGACGGUACCUAAUCAGAAAGCCACGGCUAACUACGUGCCAGCAGCCGCGGUAAUACGUAGGUGGCAAGCGUUAUCCGGAAUUAUUGGGCGUAAAGCGCGCGUAGGCGGUUUCUUAAGUCUGAUGUGAAAGCCCACGGCUCAACCGUGGAGGGUCAUUGGAAACUGGGAGACUUGAGUGCAGAAGAGGAAAGUGGAAUUCCAUGUGUAGCGGUGAAAUGCGCAGAGAUAUGGAGGAACACCAGUGGCGAAGGCGACUUUCUGGUCUGUAACUGACGCUGAUGUGCGAAAGCGUGGGGAUCAAACAGGAUUAGAUACCCUGGUAGUCCACGCCGUAGACGAUGAGUGCUAAGUGUUAUGGGGGUUUCCGCCCCCUUAGUGCUGCAGCUAAACGCAUUAAGCACUCCCGCCCUGGGGGGAGGUACGACCGCAACGUUUGAACUCAAGGAAUUUGGACUGGGACCCGCACAAAGCAGUGUAAGUCCAU